CCUACGGGAGGCAGCAGUGGGGAAUAUUGCACAAUGGGGGAAACCCUGAUGCAGCGACGCCGCGUGAAGGAAGAAGUAUUUCGGUAUGUAAACUUCUAUCAGCAGGGAAGAAAAUGACGGUACCUGACUAAGAAGCCCCGGCUAACUACGUGCCAGCAGCCGCGGUAAUACGUAGGGGGCAAGCGUUAUCCGGAUUUACUGGGUGUAAAGGGAGCGUAGGCGGUUUAGCAAGUCAGAAGUGAAAGCCCGGGGCUCAACUCCGGGACUGCUUUUGAAACUGUUGAACUAGAUUGCAGGAGAGGCAGACGGAAUUCCUAGGGUAGCGGUGAAAUGCGUAGAUAUUAGGAGGAACACCAGUGGCGAAGGCGGUCUGCUGGACAGCAACUGACGGUGAGGCGCGAAAGCGUGGGGAGCAAACAGGAUUAGAUACCCGUGUAGUC
Molecule: ribosomal RNA, 440 nt
Filed under: uncultured bacterium
Lineage: Bacteria
Description: partial 16S ribosomal RNA
Rfam family: Bacterial small subunit ribosomal RNA
Source: RNAcentral